This 1011-nucleotide long non-coding RNA is filed under the name Cricetulus griseus (Chinese hamster). RNAcentral describes it as "lncRNA (ENSCGRG00015030049.1)". The record is from RNAcentral. Lineage: Eukaryota; Metazoa; Chordata; Mammalia; Rodentia; Cricetidae.
CUCACGUCCUGUGGCCAUUGUAUAUCUUCCUGGACACAUUGUCCAGAGCUUGGGUCAGAGGUGGCACUUAUGAGGGUCUGUUCUGCUGGGUGUAGUGGCACAUGCCUUUUAAUCCCAGCAUUCAGGAGGCAGAGGUAGGAGGGUCUCUGUGAAUCUGAGGCCAACCUGAUCUACAUAAUGAGUUUCAGGAUAGCCAGAGAUACGUAGUGAGACCCUGUUUCAAAAACAAACAAAUGCAACCAACAAAUAAACAAACCAAUAAACACUAGGGUCCUUUCUUGCUUGAGUGUUGCUUGAAGUCCAUUCCUCCUGAUGGGAAACACAGAAUGGGAACUGAAAUUCUUGAGAAGCCACUUCUCCAUUUGUGUUCAGGAUUUUAAUGGGAAGGAGCUGGGGUGGGGUUGGAAGUGUGCUAUGAUGCUUGUUAGCACCAAGUUUCCCCUACAGAUUUUGGAAGGCUGCCGCCCGAACCUCCACCCUAAACAAUUCUUGUAGGCCUACUUACAGAUGUUGCUAGAAACCCUAAUAUAGGUCCUUUACAUUUACAAAAUUAACAGAAAUAAUAGACCUGAAAACAUAAAACUGACACACCACGGAAAAGCAGGCGAUGAGGGUGUGGACUGCAACACAUCAGAUAACACAGAUAACAAACCUGCUCUGUCACCCAGCCCAUUCCAACCCUCCAGGCAUCACAGAAACCGCACAGAAACAAAGACUGAAAAAGAAAGUUACCUAGUGUGGCGCCAAGUGACUCAAUGAAAGGGGGUGUCAUGUACGGAAACAGACAUAAAUAGCAAAAACAGGACAGACAUCAGACAGGACAAACCGUGUGGCAGAGGAAUGGUGCCCCAAACCAAAAUUACAAACAACCCUUGGACUUUCAUCCACAGCAGAACCAAGGGUUCCAGAAACACAUCUGCUUCUGGCACAUGUCUGCUUUCCCUAUGGUCAAAAUCAAACUACCCUCGGACUUUCGUAAAGGGCAGAACUCAGGGUCUCGGAACAUGUCUG